ACCAAGGUCAGUCAUAGCCCCAUUCCUCUCUCUCUCUCUCUCUCUCUCUCUCUCUCUCUCUCUCUCUCUCUCUCUCUCUCUCUCUCUCUCUUUCUCUCUCUCUCUUGUAGUUUCUCCCUCUCUUCCAGAAUAGCUCAGCGAUGGCAGCGGAACACCUCCCGACCUACCCAGUCAAAUUGAUGAAGACGAACGGAAGUUGAUUUCUUAUCCGAUGAAACUAAAACUUUACUAGGAUAGUAGCCUCAUCAAAGCAGCAGUGGAGUCACCAAUGCUUGCACAAUCAAAUUGAUGAAGACAAUCGGAUAGUGAUUUCUUAUAAAGAGGGAGAUUGCCAAGUUUCUGCAGCAGUGCUUGAUGUGCCAGCAGGUUAAGGCUAAGCUCCAAAGAGUGGCGAGAUAGUUGUAGCCACUUCACAUCCCUCAGUGGAAGUGGGAUCAUAUUUCUAUCUUCUUUACCGACACCCACCAUCUCUCUGCCUCCCCUGAUAACUUGAACAUUGCAAAGGUUACCUUCUGCUUCUCUGUGCAGUUCAGAACAUCCAGGAUCUUCUCGAUCUCCUGAAUCCAAUCCUCAUUUCGAAUCAGAUCUGCACUUCCUAUGAAAUCCCAAGGCUUCAAUCUAGUGAACUGAUCAAUGGAGCAUCCCAUCUCAGUUGUGGGACGGUCUUGCCCUCCAUUCGUUCGCACCACCUCAGCCAUAAGUUGCUAUGUGAAAUCUCGCAAUACACUCAUAGAGUCACUGCCAGCCUCAUGGCCGGUGCCCUCACUACUACUACCUCCCACAUUGGCAAUAUUGUCCUUGAAUUCCAUCCUGAAAAGCAAUUGUGAACAUCCAUUAAAAAAGUAAUAGCCUAAGUAUCAGCUAAUACUACAAUACCACAGACUCAAUUCCCUAAAUCCAUAUUCUUAAUAUUGACAUACUCCAUCAAUUUAACAUCCUCAUUCUAACUCAA
Molecule: long non-coding RNA, 952 nt
Organism: Malania oleifera
Lineage: Eukaryota; Viridiplantae; Streptophyta; Magnoliopsida; Santalales; Ximeniaceae
Exons: 2
Source: RefSeq, a predicted model, not a curated record